CACCAUUCCAGGGGGUCAUUAAGGCCACGAUCAUUAAGGUGGUUCACCCAGGGCGAGGCUUGGCUAUGCGAAUUCCCCAAAUGUGAGAAUCUUGACUGCAAAAUUUCUGGUAGUGGGGGACUGCGUAUGCACUCUCCCCUG
This 141-nucleotide small nuclear RNA is filed under the name Monopterus albus (swamp eel). RNAcentral's name for it is "U1 spliceosomal RNA (ENSMALG00000005922.1)". It matches the Rfam family "U1 spliceosomal RNA". Rfam says of the family: U1 is a small nuclear RNA (snRNA) component of the spliceosome (involved in pre-mRNA splicing). Lineage: Eukaryota; Metazoa; Chordata; Actinopteri; Synbranchiformes; Synbranchidae. The record is from RNAcentral.